RNAcentral lists this ribosomal RNA (555 nucleotides) under Pediococcus pentosaceus. RNAcentral's name for it is "bacterial SSU rRNA". It matches the Rfam family "Bacterial small subunit ribosomal RNA", at positions 63 to 607 of the family's 1533-position model. The record is from RNAcentral. Lineage: Bacteria; Bacillati; Bacillota; Bacilli; Lactobacillales; Lactobacillaceae.
UGUACUGAUUGAGAUUUUAACACGAAGUGAGUGGCGAACGGGUGAGUAACACGUGGGUAACCUGCCCAGAAGUAGGGGAUAACACCUGGAAACAGAUGCUAAUACCGUAUAACAGAGAAAACCGCAUGGUUUUCUUUUAAAAGAUGGCUCUGCUAUCACUUCUGGAUGGACCCGCGGCGUAUUAGCUAGUUGGUGAGGUAAAGGCUCACCAAGGCAGUGAUACGUAGCCGACCUGAGAGGGUAAUCGGCCACAUUGGGACUGAGACACGGCCCAGACUCCUACGGGAGGCAGCAGUAGGGAAUCUUCCACAAUGGACGCAAGUCUGAUGGAGCAACGCCGCGUGAGUGAAGAAGGGUUUCGGCUCGUAAAGCUCUGUUGUUAAAGAAGAACGUGGGUAAGAGUAACUGUUUACCCAGUGACGGUAUUUAACCAGAAAGCCACGGCUAACUACGUGCCAGCAGCCGCGGUAAUACGUAGGUGGCAAGCGUUAUCCGGAUUUAUUGGGCGUAAAGCGAGCGCAGGCGGUCUUUUAAGUCUAAUGUGAAAGCCUUCGG